Non-coding RNA from Fukomys damarensis (Damara mole-rat), 146 nucleotides. The record is from Rfam. NCBI's taxonomy places the organism in Eukaryota, Metazoa, Chordata, Mammalia, Rodentia, Bathyergidae.
CAGAUUAUUCAGUGGCAGUAUCGUAGCCAAUGAGGUUUAUCCGAGGCGCGAUUAUUGCUAAUUGAAAACUUUUCCUAUAUGUCUAUUUUUAAGUGACUGUAUUAUCCUUCCAUGGAGAAAAUUAUAUUUAAUAAAAUUUUUAAAAU